Molecule: long non-coding RNA, 1181 nt
Filed under: Macaca fascicularis (crab-eating macaque)
Lineage: Eukaryota; Metazoa; Chordata; Mammalia; Primates; Cercopithecidae
Description: lncRNA (ENSMFAG00000061313.1)
Rfam family: U1 spliceosomal RNA (bases 1079-1181)
Source: RNAcentral
AUCUCGGAUGUCCGUCUAUUAUUGCACUUUGCACCGUGUACUUCGGUUGCUUAUUUAGGUGCCAGUCUCCCUGGGGGGAAAGUCCUGGGUUUUCUAGAGGAUUUUUUUUUUAAUCCCCGUGGCCCCAGUGACCAGCCCAGCAUCUAACACACUGCCCGCAGGAAGCCUGUGUCCCUGAACCCAUUCUCCCGGGCCAAGAUAGGACCUGUUUGAGGAAGACGGAAAAAGUGCUCCGUGAGCAGGAUUAUGAAACGACAAGGAUGACGUGAGGGACUUUCGAAACCCUGGGAAGGAAGAUGCCCACGUGAAUGACAGCCCCUUGCUAUUCUCGGCCACCAGAGGUUCAGGUUUUAACUCAGGACAGCUGCCCGGAGCCUGCAGUCAGCCGGGGACAGAGCCUCCUGCCAGCGCAGCAGACUUCUGCUGCCCCCUAGUGGUCCCGGGGCCUCAGCCGAGUGGGGUCUCCAAAGGCUCCAGCUUCUGUUCUCUGGGAAACUUCUCAGCCACAAGGCUGAAGACAGAGAUUUCCACCUCACAGCUGCCUGGGGAAUGCCUCUUUGCAACAGGGAACCAGGAGGAGCUAAGAGCAGGGCCUUAGGGGGUUUUCCAUUUACAGCUUUGCAGUUGAACUCACAGUGUGACUUUCAGUGACCUCCUUCACUGUUCUAAGCCUCAGUUUUCUCAUCUGUAAAAUAGAGAUUUUAAUAUGAAUCCUCCCUCUUAUGGGUUUUGUACAGAUCAAGGGAGAUAAUAAAUGAAAAUUGUUUAACACAUAGUAAAAACCUGGCACAUACAAGGACCCAGAGGGGUAGCUAUUGCUAUUAUUAUAACGAGGAGAAUCUGGGUGACCCUCUCGUCCACCCUUCUAUUCCCAGGACCUGGGGGCUGCUCUAAGUGUCUGCUGAAUGAGUGAAUGUAUUACAGGUGCUUUUGACUUUCUUCUUUCUACUUUCCUGUAUAUUCUAAAAUUUCUACCAUAAACAUGUUUAUUUUUACAAUCACAAUAAAUUGUAAAACUUUAAACAAGGAAACGUGUAAAGAAAAGGGAAAAUGGGAAGAGUACAGAAAGUUUAUGCUCAUACUUACCUGGCAGAGGAGAUACCAUGAUCACAAAGGUAGUUUUCCCAGGGUGAAGUUCACCAUUGCACCCCGGAGGUGCAGACCCCUGUGUUUUCCCCAAA